UCCUGCUUGCCCUCUUCGUGGCGGCCGGCCUUGCCGUCAGAAGUGACAGCCGGGUCCCGCGCAACGGGCGGUUGUGAACCCCGUCAGGCCCGGAAGGGAGCAGCGGUAGCAACUUUCCCCGUGUGCCGCGGGGGUGCCUGGCUGUCACUUGUGCCGGCAAUGUCCAGCCGGA
RNAcentral lists this signal recognition particle RNA (172 nucleotides) under Geothermobacter ehrlichii. Its description in RNAcentral is "Bacterial large signal recognition particle RNA". The stretch from base 48 to 146 matches the Rfam family "Bacterial small signal recognition particle RNA". Rfam says of the family: The signal recognition particle (SRP) is a universally conserved ribonucleoprotein involved in the co-translational targeting of proteins to membranes. Archaeal SRP consists of a 7S RNA and homologues of the eukaryotic SRP19 and SRP54 proteins. In most bacteria, the SRP consists of a 4.5S RNA and the Ffh protein (a homologue of the eukaryotic SRP54 protein). The record is from RNAcentral. Lineage: Bacteria; Pseudomonadati; Thermodesulfobacteriota; Desulfuromonadia; Desulfuromonadales; Geothermobacteraceae.